RNAcentral lists this ribosomal RNA (482 nucleotides) under uncultured bacterium. RNAcentral's name for it is "partial 16S ribosomal RNA". It matches the Rfam family "Bacterial small subunit ribosomal RNA", at positions 30 to 507 of the family's 1533-position model. The record is from RNAcentral.
AUUGAACGCUGGCGGCAUGCCUUACACAUGCAAGUCGAACGGUAACGGGCCUUCGGGUGCCGACGAGUGGCGAACGGGUGAGUAAUACAUCGGAACGUGCCCGAUCGUGGGGGAUAACAAGGCGAAAGCUUUGCUAUAACCCCAACCGACCAAGGGUGGAAACCGGGGGACGGAAAGGCUUUGGGGGGACGGGGCGGCCGAUGGCAGAUUAGGUAGUUGGUGGGAUAAAAGCUUACCAAGCCGACGAUCUGUAGCUGGUCUGAGAGGAUGAUCAGCCACACUGGGACUGAGACACGGCCCAGACUCCUACGGGAGGCAGCAGUGGGGAAUUUUGGACAAUGGGCGCAAGCCUGAUCCAGCCAUGCCGCGUGCAGGAUGAAGGCCUUCGGGUUGUAAACUGCUUUUGUACGGAACGAAAAGCCUUCUUUUAAUACAGGAGGGUCAUGACGGUACCGUAAGAAUAAGCACCGGCUAACUACGUG